GACGAACGCUGGCGGCGUGCUUAACACAUGCAAGUCGAACGGAAAGGCCCUGCUUUUGUGGGGUGCUCGAGUGGCGAACGGGUGAGUAACACGUGAGUAACCUGCCCUUGACUUUGGGAUAACUUCAGGAAACUGGGGCUAAUACCGGAUAGGAGCUCCUGCUGCAUGGUGGGGGUUGGAAAGUUUCGGCGGUUGGGGAUGGACUCGCGGCUUAUCAGCUUGUUGGUGGGGUAGUGGCUUACCAAGGCUUUGACGGGUAGCCGGCCUGAGAGGGUGACCGGCCACAUUGGGACUGAGAUAGGGCCCAGACUGCUACGGGAGGCAGCAGUGGGGAAUAUUGCACAAUGGGCGGAAGCCUGAUGCAGCAACGCCGCGUGCGGGAUGACGGCCUUCGGGUUGUAAACCGCUUUCGCCUGUGACGAAGCGUGAGUGACGGUAAUGGGUAAAGAAGCACCGGCUAACUACGUG
Molecule: ribosomal RNA, 468 nt
Filed under: uncultured bacterium
Lineage: Bacteria
Description: partial 16S ribosomal RNA
Rfam family: Bacterial small subunit ribosomal RNA
Source: RNAcentral